UACAGAGGGGGCAAGCGUUGUUCGGAAUUACUGGGCGUAAAGGGCGCGUAGGCGGCCCGCUAAGUCACACGUGAAAUCCCUCGGCUCAACCGGGGAACUGCGUGUGAUACUGGCGGGCUUGAAUUCGGGAGAGGGAUGUGGAAUUCCAGGUGUAGCGGUGAAAUGCGUAGAUAUCUGGAGGAACACCGGUGGCGAAGGCGGCAUCCUGGACCGAGAUUGACGCUGAGGCGCGAAAGCUAGGGGAGCAAACGGG
This 253-nucleotide ribosomal RNA is filed under the name uncultured bacterium. RNAcentral's name for it is "partial 16S ribosomal RNA". It matches the Rfam family "Bacterial small subunit ribosomal RNA", at positions 524 to 776 of the family's 1533-position model. The record is from RNAcentral.